AUUGCUUCUUGGCCUUUUGGCUAAGAUCAAGUGUAGUAUCUGUUCUUAGCAGUUUAACAUCUGAUAUGUCCUCUAUCCGAGGACAACAUAUUAAAGUGGGUUUUUGGAGCCGGGAUAUGGAAUAGGAGCUUGCUCCGUCUGCUCCGCAUCGACCUGGUAUUGCAGUACUUCCAGGAACAGUGCACCCCCU
Molecule: small nuclear RNA, 190 nt
Organism: Saimiri boliviensis boliviensis (Bolivian squirrel monkey)
Lineage: Eukaryota; Metazoa; Chordata; Mammalia; Primates; Cebidae
Gene: U2
Rfam family: U2 spliceosomal RNA
About the family: U2 is a small nuclear RNA (snRNA) component of the spliceosome (involved in pre-mRNA splicing). Complementary binding between U2 snRNA (in an area lying towards the 5' end but 3' to hairpin I) and the branchpoint sequence (BPS) of the intron results the bulging out of an unpaired adenosine, on the BPS, which initiates a nucleophilic attack at the intronic 5' splice site, thus starting the first of two transesterification reactions that mediate splicing.
Source: Ensembl